Molecule: non-coding RNA, 607 nt
Organism: Paramuricea clavata
Lineage: Eukaryota; Metazoa; Cnidaria; Anthozoa; Malacalcyonacea; Plexauridae
Source: the annotation of a GenBank genome assembly
UUAGGGGCGGACCAUUUGAUUUUUGAGGGGUGGGUGGGGGUGGGUGGAAGAUUCAGUCUGUGCAAGAAUUUUUUUUCCGCCCAGGCGAACGAGACAGAUAUUUUUUUCCUGUAAAAGUGCAGCGCAAGAUAUUUUUUUCCCAAUAUAUUUGGCCGCAGGAUAUUUUUUUUUGCCUCUCAUAAUAACGGCUUACAGCAACUUUAGGCUUUCAUAUAGCUAUCAUCGGAGACGUAGCAGGGGUUUUCAGUCAGAGGAGGCCGAGAACUGAAUCCCAAGAGGGGCCAAAGAAUUUUCACUGUGCUUUAUUUUAUAUGGUUAUGUCUUAAUGUUCCCCACACUAAAGCGUGCAAGUUUACUUACAAAGAAUGUAUAACUGCACCAAAACCUAAAACAUGCAGGGAUAGAGUAGAGUACAGUACUCCAAAAUGGGGGAGGGUACAGCAGUGGCGUAACGUUAUAUCAAGGGGCCCCCGGUUCAAAAUUUUCGAAGGCCCCCCUAGUAGAAGUGCCAAAGGCACGAGUCGAGCGCCGUAUAUGCACGAGUUUUCUAGGGGGUCCAGGGCAUGGUCAUCCAGAAAAUUUUUGAAUCUAGACUCUCUGAAAUGCC